RNAcentral lists this ribosomal RNA (393 nucleotides) under uncultured bacterium. Its description in RNAcentral is "partial 16S ribosomal RNA". It matches the Rfam family "Bacterial small subunit ribosomal RNA", at positions 523 to 918 of the family's 1533-position model. The record is from RNAcentral.
AUACGGAGGAUCCGAGCGUUAUCCGGAUUUAUUGGGUUUAAAGGGAGCGUAGGUGGAUUGUUAAGUCAGUUGUGAAAGUUUGCGGCUCAACCGUAAAAUUGCAGUUGAAACUGGCAGUCUUGAGUACAGUAGAGGUGGGCGGAAUUCGUGGUGUAGCGGUGCAAUGCUUAGAUAUCACGAAGAACUCCGAUUGCGAAGGCAGCUCACUAGACUGUUACUAACACUGAUGCUCGAAAGUGUGGGUAUCAAACAGGAUUAGAUACCCUGGUAGUCCACACAGUAAACGAUGAAUACUCGCUGUUUGCGAUAUACAGUAAGCGGCCAAGCGAAAGCAUUAAGUAUUCCACCUGGGGAGUACGCCGGCAACGGUGAAACUCAAAUGAAUUGACGGGG